Molecule: Y RNA, 109 nt
Filed under: Callithrix jacchus (white-tufted-ear marmoset)
Lineage: Eukaryota; Metazoa; Chordata; Mammalia; Primates; Cebidae
Description: Y RNA (ENSCJAG00000073638.1)
Rfam family: Y RNA
About the family: Y RNAs are components of the Ro ribonucleoprotein particle (Ro RNP), in association with Ro60 and La proteins. The Y RNAs and Ro60 and La proteins are well conserved, but the function of the Ro RNP is not known.
Source: Rfam by way of RNAcentral
GGCUGGUCUGAAGGAAGUGAGUGAUCUCAAUUGAUUGUUCACAGUUACAGAUGGAAGACCUCGUUCUACUCUUUCCCUGCUUCUCACCACUGCACUUGAAUCACCUUUU